This 513-nucleotide ribosomal RNA is filed under the name uncultured bacterium. Its description in RNAcentral is "partial 16S ribosomal RNA". It matches the Rfam family "Bacterial small subunit ribosomal RNA", at positions 28 to 507 of the family's 1533-position model. The record is from RNAcentral.
GACGAACGCUGGCGGCGUGCUUAACACAUGCAAGUCGAACGAAAAGAGGGAAAGAGCUUGCUCUUUCCGGAAUUGAGUGGCAAACGGGUGAGUAACACGUAAACAACCUGCCUUCAGGAUGGGGACAACAGACGGAAACGACUGCUAAUACCGAAUAAGUUCCAAGGGCCGCAUGGCCCAUGGAAGAAAAGGUGGCCUCUACCUGUAAGCUAUCGCCUGAAGAGGGGUUUGCGUCUGAUUAGCUGGUUGGAGGGGUAACGGCCCACCAAGGCGACGAUCAGUAGCCGGUCUGAGAGGAUGAACGGCCACACUGGCACUGAGACACGGUCCAGACUCCUACGGGGGGCAGCAGUGGGGAAUCUUCCGCAAUAGGCGAAAGCCUGACGGAGCAACGCCGCGUGAGUGAUGACGGCCUUCGGGUUGUAAAACUCUGUGAUCCGGGACGAAAAGGCAGAGUGCGAAGAACAAACUGCAUUGACGGUACCGGAAAAGCAAGCCACGGCUAACUACGUG